RNAcentral lists this ribosomal RNA (486 nucleotides) under Triticum aestivum (bread wheat). Its description in RNAcentral is "partial small subunit ribosomal RNA". Lineage: Eukaryota; Viridiplantae; Streptophyta; Magnoliopsida; Poales; Poaceae. The record is from RNAcentral.
AUGCGGUUGAAGAGGGCGAUGGCAAGGUCCGGACCAUCGCUGCAGGCAGCUGAGGGCGGUGCACGGGCGAGGGCGGCAAGAAAGUUGUUCAGCUUGCGUACUGGGACUGUCGCGGCUUGGCUCAGCAAUUCGUCGAACAGGUGGUGCGCGUCCUGCCGACUUAGCGUUCCGGCGCGGACGCGCUCCGUGGCGGCAGCCAAGGCGGCGAGGGGAGGUCGGCGCUCUCGUGAAGGAGCCUUGAAGGAGGACAGGCGGGCGGCUGGCAUUGCUGGCCGUCUCCAGCGGAGGUCGGCGCGCCAGUGCACGGAUCUCGUCCUCUGGAGAGGCCGAGCGACCGUCCGCGCGUCCCCUGACGAGGCGCACCGAGCUCGGCGCGCGCGCGCACCAACCAGGCUCUCGGGGGAACGCGUUCGGCAGCGGCGACGGAGAGGAGGCCCCGGCGCCCGAGCGGGAAGCGCGGGAGGAGCAGCGCAGCUCCGUGGAUGA